AAGGCUUUUUACUCACAAUUUGAGAGAUGUAACGGCUGAAGCCUAAAACCUAAAACCAAUUCCCUAAACCUAAAAUCAAUUCCUCUUCCCCAUUCUCUCACAACACAGUCCGCCGCCUUCCUUGGGGACGGCGAAAUCGCCGCUCCUCCCUCUCUUUCACGCAAUCCGCCCUCUCCUCCCUUCCUGCAGUUCCCGGCGAGCAACGUCUAAGACCGCCACCGCCGUCUCAACCCCCGAUUCUCCCUCGCCCUUCCCCCUAUCUACAGAACCCUACGCCCGCAGUGGCUCAAGACCACGGCCAUGUCGUCCGCCACCGCGCCGCGCCGGCACCCUCCGCAUCUCCCCCCUCCCGUCUCCACACAAGCUCUCCUUUCCCCCGACCAUAGCCAUGGCACAGCCGCCGCCAAUGGCUGCCCGAGCCUGUCACCACCGCCGUCAAUGGGUGUCUCGCACAUUUGGACUAAAGACUUUUCGUUGGUCCUCCCGUCUUGACCCGCAACAUAUAUUUGUCAAUCUCCGUUUCAUAUUUUUUUGCUCAUUGCAGGCGCAAAUUUCUCAGUUUCCUCGAAUUUCUCAAGAUAGGGGAUUCAAUGAUUGCUUGAUUCUGGAGGGAAAUUAGGGUUGAUAAGAUAGUGAGGAAAGGGAAAAAAAAGAUGGGUUAUUUCAAGCAGGCGCUAAGAAGCAUCGAUGCGUCGCACUCCAGCCCUCUCUGCCUCGCCCCGACCUGUCCCCUUCAAUAAGUCGGCGCCGCCGCCCCUCAGUCCGCCGCUAUCCCCAGCAGAUACGUCAGCCACGGAAAUCGUUUCCAGUUUUCAGUGAAUCCAUCUGCCCUGGCUUGCAAUGACUCUGAGCGACGUGGUACGGUAUUUUGAAAAUAGUUGUUGCUCGCUGCCUAUGGCUCAUGACCAACUAUUGUUGAGAUAUGAGUUACAGGAAGAUCAUUCCUUAUUAGGGGAAGAUGAAUUCGAGUGAUCUGGUCAAGGUUCAAAUUAAGUCAUGUCUCGAGUUUUGGCUGGGCAAUAGAGAAGCCAGUUACCCUCCUAUGGAGGAGCUCUGGAAAUGCAAGUUCUGCAAGUUUGCCUCUGUAUGUCCAAUUAACUUAGACCCAGAUGAUUCUCCAAGCAAAACGAAAAGUGAAGGCAUUCCUUCGCCUGAUCCGACUCCUAAGUAAGCCAUUCUUCAU
Salvia miltiorrhiza (redroot sage) is the source of this 1183-nucleotide long non-coding RNA. RefSeq lists it as uncharacterized. The record is from RefSeq and is a predicted model, not a curated record. The transcript has 5 exons. Lineage: Eukaryota; Viridiplantae; Streptophyta; Magnoliopsida; Lamiales; Lamiaceae.